AAGGAAAAAGAUGAAGAGGGAAGCCUCCACCACAUGCUGAUAGGCUACAGGCCAUGAGGGGGUUUCCCAAUGUUUCCCAGACAAGACUAUCUUCUAUUCCAUGUCCCAUCUACAAGAUGCAUGCUGGUAAGGGUUUGCUGCUUCUGUGAUGCCCUUGGAAUAUUAAUGCACAUGGAAAUUGUCCCACUCCAUCUUACAAGAGAGAAGAUGACUGCAAAAGGGGAAACCUCUGGACUGAACAACAACUCAAUAAAAGAGAAAAGAAGACCUGUGGGAAACUAAUUUUGAAAAUUCUACUGUCCAGCAAUUUCAAUGGCAUGAAGACUUCCCCAUAACUGUUUAUGCCAGUAGCCCUUUAAAAUGAGAGAAAGAGUCCUUGGAGCAAGAUAAAAUGCCCGACUGGU
Molecule: long non-coding RNA, 404 nt
Filed under: Manacus vitellinus (golden-collared manakin)
Lineage: Eukaryota; Metazoa; Chordata; Aves; Passeriformes; Pipridae
Description: lncRNA (ENSMVIG00005007430.1)
Source: RNAcentral